RNAcentral lists this ribosomal RNA (252 nucleotides) under uncultured Ruminococcus sp. RNAcentral describes it as "partial 16S ribosomal RNA". It matches the Rfam family "Bacterial small subunit ribosomal RNA", at positions 524 to 776 of the family's 1533-position model. The record is from RNAcentral. Lineage: Bacteria; Bacillati; Bacillota; Clostridia; Eubacteriales; Oscillospiraceae.
UACGUAGGGAGCGAGCGUUGUCCGGAAUUACUGGGUGUAAAGGGAGCGUAGGCGGGGAUGCAAGUUGGGUGUUAAAUCUACCGGCUCAACUGGUAGUCGCACUCAAAACUGCAGCUCUUGAGUGAAGUAGAGGCAGGCGGAAUUCCUAGUGUAGCGGUGGAAUGCGCAGAUAUCGGGAAGAACACCGAUGGCGAAGGCAGCUCUCUGGGCCGUCACUGACGCUGAGGCGCGAAAGCUGGGGGAGCGAACAGG